GAUUGUGUAGCUCAGUGUGAAAGAGCAGUUGGCUGUUAACCAUCAGGUCGUGGGUUCGAAUCCCACCACAAUCG
Molecule: transfer RNA, 74 nt
Filed under: Vibrio phage 1.208.B._10N.222.52.A7
Lineage: Duplodnaviria; Heunggongvirae; Uroviricota; Caudoviricetes; Zobellviridae
Description: tRNA-Asn
Rfam family: tRNA
About the family: Transfer RNA (tRNA) molecules are approximately 80 nucleotides in length. Their secondary structure includes four short double-helical elements and three loops (D, anti-codon, and T loops). Further hydrogen bonds mediate the characteristic L-shaped molecular structure. tRNAs have two regions of fundamental functional importance: the anti-codon, which is responsible for specific mRNA codon recognition, and the 3' end, to which the tRNAs corresponding amino acid is attached (by aminoacyl-tRNA synthetases). tRNAs cope with the degeneracy of the genetic code in two manners: having more than one tRNA (with a specific anti-codon) for a particular amino acid; and 'wobble' base-pairing, i.e. permitting non-standard base-pairing at the 3rd anti-codon position.
Source: RNAcentral